GUCCAAGGUGAUUCCCUCUCCAAGGGGCUGACCAGUGCCCCUUUCAGGAACGUAGCAACUUGGAAGAAAAUCUGGGGAACAAGGGUUGCUUGUUGCCUUUGCCUGCCUUUGGUUGCCUACAUGU
Molecule: small nucleolar RNA, 124 nt
Organism: Microtus oregoni (creeping vole)
Lineage: Eukaryota; Metazoa; Chordata; Mammalia; Rodentia; Cricetidae
Product: small nucleolar RNA SNORA67
Exons: 1
Source: RefSeq, a predicted model, not a curated record